AUUGAACGCUGGCGGAAUGCUUUACACAUGCAAGUCGAACGGCAGCACGGACUUCGGUCUGGUGGCGAGUGGCGAACGGGUGAGUAAUGUAUCGGAAUGUGCCCAGUCGUGGGGGAUAACGUAGUGAAAAUUACGCUAAUACCGCAUACGAUCUAUGGAUGAAAGCGGGGGAUCGCAAGACCUCGCGCGAUUGGAGCGGCCGAUAUCAGAUUAGGUAGUUUGUGGGGUAAAGGCCCACCAAGCCAACGAUCUGUAGCUGGUCUGAGAGGACGACCAGCCACGCUGAAACGGAGACACGGUCCAGACUCCUACGGGAGGCAGCAGUGGGGAAUUUUGGACAAUGGGCGAAAGCCUGAUCCAGCCAUUCCGCGUGCAGGAUGAAGGCCCUCGGGUUGUAAACUGCUUUUGUACAGAACGAAAAGGUUUCUACUAAUACUAGGAGCUCAUGACGGUACUGUAAGAAUAAGCACCGGCUAACUACGUGCCAGCAGCCGCGGUAA
This 500-nucleotide ribosomal RNA is filed under the name uncultured bacterium. RNAcentral describes it as "partial 16S ribosomal RNA". It matches the Rfam family "Bacterial small subunit ribosomal RNA", at positions 30 to 523 of the family's 1533-position model. The record is from RNAcentral.